GACGAACGCUGGCGGCGUGCUUAACACAUGCAAGUCGAACGGAAAGGCCCCUUUGGGGGUACUCGAGUGGCGAACGGGUGAGUAACACGUGAGUAACCUGCCCUUGACUUCGGGAUAACUUCAGGAAACUGGGGCUAAUACCGGAUAGGAAUCCUUGCUGCAUGGUGGGGGUUGGAAAGCUUCGGCGGUUUUGGAUGGACUCGCGGCUCAUCAGCUUGUUGGUGGGGUAGUGGCUUACCAAGGCUUUGACGGGUAGCCGGCCUGAGAGGGCGACCGGCCACAUUGGGACUGAGAUACGGCCCAGACUCCUACGGGAGGCAGCAGUGGGGAAUAUUGCACAAUGGGCGGAAGCCUGAUGCAGCAACGCCGCGUGCGGGAUGACGGCCUUCGGGUUGUAAACCGCUUUCAGCAGGGGCGAAGCUUGUGGUGACGGUACCUGCAGAAGAAGCACCGGCUAACUACGUG
This 465-nucleotide ribosomal RNA is filed under the name uncultured bacterium. Its description in RNAcentral is "partial 16S ribosomal RNA". It matches the Rfam family "Bacterial small subunit ribosomal RNA", at positions 28 to 507 of the family's 1533-position model. The record is from RNAcentral.